RNAcentral lists this ribosomal RNA (372 nucleotides) under uncultured organism. RNAcentral describes it as "partial 16S ribosomal RNA". It matches the Rfam family "Bacterial small subunit ribosomal RNA", at positions 527 to 896 of the family's 1533-position model. The record is from RNAcentral.
GUAGGUGGCAAGCGUUGUCCGGAAUUAUUGGGCGUAAAGCGCGCGCAGGGCGGUCCUUUAAGUCUGAUGUGAAAGCCCACGGCUCAACCGUGGAGGGUCAUUGGAAACUGGGGGACUUGAGUACAGAAGAGGAAAGCGGAAUUCCAAGUGUAGCGGUGAAAUGCGUAGAGAUUUGGAGGAACACCAGUGGCGAAGGCGGCUUUCUGGUCUGUAACUGACGCUGAGGCGCGAAAGCGUGGGGAGCGAACAGGAUUAGAUACCCUGGUAGUCCACGCCGUAAACGAUGAGUGCUAAGUGUUAGGGGGUUUCCGCCCCUUAGUGCUGCAGCUAACGCAUUAAGCACUCCGCCUGGGGAGUACGGCCGCAAGGCUG